This 72-nucleotide transfer RNA is filed under the name Stegodyphus mimosarum. It matches the Rfam family "tRNA". Rfam says of the family: Transfer RNA (tRNA) molecules are approximately 80 nucleotides in length. The record is from Rfam by way of RNAcentral. Lineage: Eukaryota; Metazoa; Arthropoda; Arachnida; Araneae; Eresidae.
GUCUUCGUGGUGUAAUGGUUAGCACACUCGACUCGUAUUCCAGGGGCUCAGGUUCGAUUCCCGGCGAGAGCA